CAGCCGCCGCGGUAAUACGAAGGGUGCAAGCGUUACUCGGAAUUACUGGGCGUAAAGCGUGCGUAGGUGGUGGUUUAAGUCCGUUGUGAAAGCCCUGGGCUCAACCUGGGAAUUGCAGUGGAUACUGGAUCACUAGAGUGUGGUAGAGGAUAGUGGAAUUUCCGGUGUAGCAGUGAAAUGCGUAGAGAUCGGAAGGAACAUCUGUGGCGAAGGCGACUAUCUGGGCCAACACUGACACUGAGGCACGAAAGCGUGGGGAGCAAACAGGAUUAGAUACCCCCGUAGUCCCUGUCUCUUAUAA
This 301-nucleotide ribosomal RNA is filed under the name uncultured bacterium. RNAcentral describes it as "partial 16S ribosomal RNA". It matches the Rfam family "Bacterial small subunit ribosomal RNA", at positions 509 to 809 of the family's 1533-position model. The record is from RNAcentral.